GCGUUUGACCUCAAAUCAGGUAGGAUUACCCGCU
This 34-nucleotide ribosomal RNA is filed under the name Hyphoderma nudicephalum. RNAcentral describes it as "partial 28S ribosomal RNA". The record is from RNAcentral. Lineage: Eukaryota; Fungi; Basidiomycota; Agaricomycetes; Polyporales; Hyphodermataceae.